This 25-nucleotide non-coding RNA is filed under the name Mus musculus (house mouse). Lineage: Eukaryota; Metazoa; Chordata; Mammalia; Rodentia; Muridae. The record is from RNAcentral.
UUCAUUCCCCGAGAGGAACAAAGGA